GACGAACGCUGGCGGCGUGCUUAACACAUGCAAGUCGAACGGAAAGGCCCUGCUUUUGUGGUGUGCUCGAGUGGCGAACGGGUGAGUAACACGUGAGUAACCUGCCCUUGACUUUGGGAUAACUUCAGGAAACUGGGGCUAAUACCGUAUAGGAUCUCCUGCUGCAUGGUGGGGGUGGGAAAGUUUCGGCGGGUGGGGAUGGACGCGCGGAUUAUCAGCUUGUUGGUGGGGUAGUGGCUUACCAAGGCUGUGGCGGAUAGCCGGCCUGAGAGGGUGAACGGCGACAUUGGGACUGAGGUACGGCCCAGACUCCUACGGGAGGCAGCAGUGGGGAAUAUUGCACAAUGGGAGGGAGUCUGAUGCAGAGACGCCGCGUGCGGGAUGACGGCCUUCGGGUUGUAAACCGCUUUAGCCUGUGACGAAGCGUGAGUGACGGUAAUGGGUAAAGAAGCACCGGCUAACUACGUG
This 468-nucleotide ribosomal RNA is filed under the name uncultured bacterium. RNAcentral's name for it is "partial 16S ribosomal RNA". It matches the Rfam family "Bacterial small subunit ribosomal RNA", at positions 28 to 507 of the family's 1533-position model. The record is from RNAcentral.